UCCUAAAAGACCCAGUCCCCUUUUCGAUGUCCCCGAUGCCCAACUUUGUCAAAAGACCCAGUCUCUUCUUUUGCAUUGAAAACAAAAGGUCACAAAACCACUCCCCGAGACUCUCUUUUAUGAUGGCCAUUACUUUUCUACCAGUUUUGGUUCUCGAAGCUUCCCUCUCCACUGAACGCUCCCAGACCUCUUCCAUCGGAUUCUAUCGCCCUCGACACUGCUCUGGACAACCAAUUAUCCAGGUAAGUCAUUCCUUGUCUCUUCAAUCCUUCCUUUGCUUUCCUGAUUUAGGGACUUUUUUGAAACGACAAUCUUCGAAACUCUUGCUUACUUCUUUUAUGUCUAAAAUGUAUGCCCUAAGCACUGAUUUGUCCUCCUCGUUAUUUUGAAAUUUUUUGAUGAUACUGAGAGCGUCACCUUCGAUCUCCACUUGUCGGAAUCCUCUUUCUAUUCCCCACUGGAUGGCCUGUAAUAGGCCAGCGCUUCUUCCGUGAAAGGCGUGGCCACUCAAUUAUUCAUCAGCAAUUGAGAUCCCAGAAAAAUCCCCCUUGAGUCCUUACCUACUUUACUCAAACCUGAUUUUGCCUCUAGUUAUCGGAAGCUCCAUCAAAGUUUAUUUUAACUGUGUUCCCUUUCAAUGGUCGCCAUCGCUCCUCCUCGAUCCGUUGGCCAAACCAGAUAGCCCAUAUGCUACAGAAAAGGGUCUUUUUUUGUGAAUUUGUUAGCCUGGACAGUCCCUAAAGACGUGCACUAAAGAUUCUGAGCCAUUCUUGCACUACAAGUAGAGAGCAAAAUUACUUACCGUUUGAAAUGUAGAUUCAAAAGUAGGGAUGUAGUUGUUGUAGACUUUCCAGUUUGUAAUUUUCACUUUCCCAAGCAAAUUUGUUUACCAUAGGCUUUUGUAAAAAAAAAUUCCUGUAAUCUCUGAAGCAUCUGUAAUUAGACUUAGAUCUUUCUUUACUAACCUCCUGUAACUACUUCUCACUUGUAAUCCCCCGUUGGUUCACUGCACAAUGCUCUACAAUCGUCUUACGCCUACCUCACCAAAGGGAUAUUCAGAAUUGUUUCAGCCUCUCCUUCAGCAAACAAAAUGGUAAUAAUCCCUUCCUUCCACUGCCUUAGAUUUGGGACUAUUAGUUAUGCCACUUUGUCAAUACUAUGAUUUUGGACUGGCUCUUGAAUUACCAGGAACCCAAGCAUUAUGCCAUAUCAAAAUACUGUCCCCUCUACCAACCCUCUAGACCAUCUCUUCCAUCAACAAUUUUUUUGCUGCCCACACACUCCUCUAGGUAUUCAAAGGAUCAAGAAACGAAGAAAGCGAAUUUGGAUCGGGGGAAAACGAAAGUAAUUGAAUAGUCGAUCGUGUUCGCUGAUAUCCGAAAUUUUGGAGACGCGUUACGAGCUCGGGGAUCAUCAGCAUAGUCUAUCACACUAUCGACUUCUUUUGGGUAUUUUGUUAAAUAUUUGAACUCGAUCUUAUGGCAUGUAUAGGUCUGAGUACGAUGUUGGUUAGAUUUUGAUUGUAAAUUAUAAUUAGCUAUGUGAAAAAUGAUUAAAUUUUCA
Molecule: long non-coding RNA, 1563 nt
Organism: Gossypium raimondii (Peruvian cotton)
Lineage: Eukaryota; Viridiplantae; Streptophyta; Magnoliopsida; Malvales; Malvaceae
Exons: 5
Source: RefSeq, a predicted model, not a curated record